Molecule: ribosomal RNA, 406 nt
Filed under: uncultured Actinomycetes bacterium
Lineage: Bacteria; Bacillati; Actinomycetota; Actinomycetes
Description: bacterial SSU rRNA
Rfam family: Bacterial small subunit ribosomal RNA
Source: RNAcentral
GAGUUUGAUCCUGGCUCAGGACGAACGCUGGCGGCGUGCUUAACACAUGCAAGUCGAGCGGUAAGGCCCCUUCGGGGGUACACGAGCGGCGAACGGGUGAGUAACACGUGAGCAAUCUGCCCAUCACAUCGGGAUAACUCCGGGAAACCGAAGCUAAUACCGAAUACGACCACCUCCGGCAUCGGAUGGUGGUGGAAAGUUCCGGCGGUGAUGGAUGAGCUCGCGGCCUAUCAGCUUGUUGGUGGGGUAACGGCCCACCAAGGCUUCGACGGGUAGCCGGCCUGAAAGGGUGACCGGCCACACUGGGACUGAGACACGGCCCAGACUCCUACGGGAGGCAGCAGUGGGGAAUAUUGGACAAUGGGCGAAAGCCUGAUCCAGCAACGCCGCGUGAGGGAUGACGGCC